This 230-nucleotide unclassified non-coding RNA is filed under the name soil metagenome. Its description in RNAcentral is "partial internal transcribed spacer 1". The record is from RNAcentral.
GAAAAUGACUUUGGUCUCGUACCAAAUCAACACCUGUGUGCACUCAUUGUCUGUCUUUGGUAGUUCGAGUCGUCCUCCAACGGAACUCAACAUUCCGGAGGGUGCUACCGACCGGCGCCGAAAGGGGUCGGUUCGGUUGGGCUACCGCCUUUCCAUUGAACAAACCUUUUGUUUUCGUUUAUGCAGUCUGAAAUUUUUGAGUUAAUCCUCACAGAUUAAUGAAUAAAAUA